Molecule: ribosomal RNA, 497 nt
Filed under: uncultured bacterium
Lineage: Bacteria
Description: partial 16S ribosomal RNA
Rfam family: Bacterial small subunit ribosomal RNA
Source: RNAcentral
GAUGAACGCUGGCGGCGUGCCUAAUACAUGCAAGUCGAACGCAUAGCGAAAGGUGCUUGCACCUUUCAGGUGAGUGGCGACCGGGUGAGUAACACGUGGACAACAUGCCUCAAGGCUGGGGACAACAUUUGGAAACAGAUGCUAAUACCGAAUAAAACUUAAUCUCGCAUGACACAAAGUUAAAAGGCGCUUCGGCGUCACUUAUAGAUGGAUCCGCGGUGCAUUAGUUAGUUGGUGAGGUAAAGGCUUACCAAGACAAUGAUGCAUAGCCGAAUUGAGAGACUGAUCGGCCACAUUGGGACUGAGACACGGCCCAAACUCCUACGGGAGGCUGCAGUAGGGAAUCUUCCACAAUGGGCGAAAGCCUGAUGGAGCAACGCCGCGUGUGUGAUGAAGGUCUUCGGGUCGUAAAGCACUGUUGUAUGGGAAGAACAGCUGGAAUAGGAAAUGAGUAUAGUUUGACGGUACCAUACCAGAAAGGGACGGCUAAAUACGUG